This 98-nucleotide ribosomal RNA is filed under the name Sinocyclocheilus rhinocerous. The record is from RNAcentral. Lineage: Eukaryota; Metazoa; Chordata; Actinopteri; Cypriniformes; Cyprinidae.
ACCACCCUGUCUGCGCCCGAUCUCGUCUGAUCCCGGAAGCUAAGCAGAGUCGGGCCUGGUUAGUACAUGGAUGGGAGACUGCCUGGGAAUACCAGGUG